GGUAAAUUUCUCAAGAUAUAUUAAUCUUAAUUACAAACUGAAAUUUUUAUGUUAUUAUUUAGAGCACUAAAUAUCAGGGACACCGCCGGGACAGGAAACCACCAUCACUGGGAGCCCGGAUUCGGGAAACCAGCAGAAGCGUCGAGUUGCAAGGUAGCCCAAAUACUGGCGAAAUGGCGGCCACAAGCUGCAAAGCCAACAUGGCAGCUGACAUCUGUCAGAUGCUGUUAUUCCGCUGCACUUUUAGUCGCCUCCGGGCGGCAGUGGGCCAUCUGGGCUCCCUAUUCCGGCCGCACUUUGUUUGCCGAGCCCGGCUGAGCACUAACAAUGGUGCACCCGGAGCCAAAUGGGAGCCACUAACGAGCAGCUCCAUGUGGUGACGUCGAUCGCGGGAAUCAAGGCUUUUUCUCGCAACGAAAUGGUGGCGAAGUGGUCCUCCUAAAUAUUUGCACUUCGCCCGCCUCGUUAGCCUCUUACUCAAAGUCCUUUAUGUAUUUUU
Non-coding RNA from Drosophila melanogaster (fruit fly), 499 nucleotides. The record is from Ensembl. Lineage: Eukaryota; Metazoa; Arthropoda; Insecta; Diptera; Drosophilidae.